Molecule: ribosomal RNA, 426 nt
Filed under: Limosilactobacillus vaginalis
Lineage: Bacteria; Bacillati; Bacillota; Bacilli; Lactobacillales; Lactobacillaceae
Description: bacterial SSU rRNA
Rfam family: Bacterial small subunit ribosomal RNA
Source: RNAcentral
GGGCAUCGGAAACCGGGCGACUUGAGUGCAGAAGAGGACAGUGGAACUCCAUGUGUAGCGGUGGAAUGCGUAGAUAUAUGGAAGAACACCAGUGGCGAAGGCGGCUGUCUGGUCUGCAACUGACGCUGAGGCUCGAAAGCAUGGGUAGCGAACAGGAUUAGAUACCCUGGUAGUCCAUGCCGUAAACGAUGAGUGCUAGGUGUUGGAGGGUUUCCGCCCUUCAGUGCCGGAGCUAACGCAUUAAGCACUCCGCCUGGGGAGUACGACCGCAAGGUUGAAACUCAAAGGAAUUGACGGGGGCCCGCACAAGCGGUGGAGCAUGUGGUUUAAUUCGAAGCUACGCGAAGAACCUUACCAGGUCUUGACAUCUUGCGCUAACCUAAGAGAUUAGGCGUUCCCUUCGGGGACGCAAUGACAGGUGGUGCA